Molecule: long non-coding RNA, 2102 nt
Organism: Daphnia magna
Lineage: Eukaryota; Metazoa; Arthropoda; Branchiopoda; Diplostraca; Daphniidae
Exons: 11
Source: RefSeq, a predicted model, not a curated record
AGCAUUAGAUUUAAAGUUACAACUUGAAAUCUUGAUAAAAGAGUAUUGUUUUCAGAAAGAAAACAAUUGCUUACCAUUUGCUGGCAAAUAUGGAAUUGGGAUCUUGCUUAAAAGUACUUGAUACCUUUUUCAUGGGAAACCUCAUUUCGCAUUCUUCUGCCAUUUUGAUUUACUUUAAUCGAAGUGUCAACCAUUUUUUUAGUCUGUAGACUGACAAAUUCAGGAUGAGUUUACUUCCAAGCAUUGACACAACAUACAUCUCCAUGUAAAGUCUUAAUUAACAUCAAUCCAUUUUAUGUAGGAGUCGAUUUUAAAUUUUUGCUUGACAAACGGAUAAGUUGAAUGGUUGAGUAUGGUUGUUGCCCAGCAGAUUCAAACAUUAUAGUUUUGGUCGCACCUAUUGCCCCUCAAAAUUUUGAGGGGCAAUAGACUUUUCCUAUAGUUUUUAUUAACAUUUACUAGACAGAAAAAAAUGUGUUGGUGAAAGUCGUCAAGAAUGCAGAUGAUUUAGUUAAUUUACUGUGGUAUCAACCUAAUCAAAAUCUUCAUAUGUGAAGUGCUUUCAGACUUCAUUGGUGCUGAAUUUUUGAGUAUAUUAUCACCAGAAUGUCAUACAAAAUAACUUGGGCAGAAAACAGAUACCUUUGGACAAUGGUUACACCAAGGGCAGUGAAUGCAUUUCUCUUUUCACCAUUGGUCAGCUGACUUGCCUUCCCAGUUGCAAUGAAGAAGAAUGAUUAGUCAAAAGUAUUAAAAGGUAUUGUGAUCAAUCAGAUAUUGAUUUCCUAGUUGCAUGACAACUGUGGAAGUUGUCAUACAACUAUACAGCUGUAUUCACCUGUUUGUUAACAAAGAAACAAGCAACAGUUAUGGUUCGUUUGGUUGGAGCCCUUUGUCAACAAAGGGAGAGAGGAUCAAGUCAAACGUAUCCGAAAGGUACGGGGUUACAAGAUGGAAGCUUAGCCACGGUUUAUUGUCAAACAAAUAGACACGGCUAUCGGAGCCCUUUGUGCGCAGGGCAUUUGACGAACCGGGCACUCAAAUGACGCUAAAGACUUUUCACUUUGCUCGUGUGGCACCGAUGAACAUCACACAGGUAGUUUCUAGGAACUUUCUGGAUUAAGGAAAUCAUUAACGCCCUAAAGGCCUUUAGUACACCUGUUAUCUCCACCCAGCUUCUAAUUGUUGACGACCCGGAAUACGCGCGACAAGUUAAAGGAAGGAUCGAAAACAAUUUUCGGAGAAAUAAAUUAAACAAUUUUUCGUUAUCAAUAUUUUUCAAUUGUCUUUUUAUGUGACGGGAUAUUUCGAUGAAGUAUAACUGCCUGAUGAUGUUUAAUGUCAAUUAAAUUAGACAUUAACCGAAUCCGCUUGCUAAAGCUCGAGGUGGCUGCAAAUUCUAUCCAGUAGAGCCUCUGUAUACAUGUAAACUGAAAAUAAAGCCUGCUUUCAUCGAAGUCAUUAGUGAAACAAUACAAAUUGUAAAGCUGUGCUCCAUCUGCAAAAUCGUCAAUGUAUCUGUGAGGCAGUACCUCAAAGAACAAUUGCCUAGGGACUUCAUACAGGGUUUGCCAACUGCUAGCCGAGCUGUCAUCAACAUCGACGAUACAAGGAAACCGCAUAGAUAGUGUGUUUAUCUGUUAACUGCUUCAAAUUGGCUCAGAAUUAGGCAGCAAUUUUGGAAGUUGUUGCUUUCUCAGUAUGAAUGAGCUUCAAUGUUGGUGUUGCAGGUGUUACCCAUGUUACGUUGACUGUUUGGAUUCCUAUUCAUUAACAUUUCAAAACCAAAUUCAUCUUCUUAAAAUUGACUUGUAAGGAUUUGGAUCAUUCUAGGAACAUAUCUAUCAAAGAUGCAAAGCUCUAAUGGGAUUAAUUUAUCCGUCAAGUACGUUUUCAUUUGCAGUCUGUAUGUCCUUUCCGAAGCCUCUGCCAGAAGAAUAUGCUAAAUAAUGAAUUUAUGAAUCGCGUAAGUUAUACGAGCAAGAAUUUUUAUGCCUAACGAUGUUUUAUUUUCUUAAUAUAGAUUAAUGAUAAACUUGGAUCUGAAAAGGUUCCUUGGUUGGGGCGAGAUAUCGAAUAAAGUUUAAUGAUUGGAUGCACUA